CCCUUAGAUGUUCUGGGCUGCACGCGCGCUACACUGGUCGAUGCAACGAGUUUCUUUCCUUGGCCGACAGGCCUGGGCAAUCUUUGAACAUCGAUCGUGAUCGGGAUAGAUUCUUGUAAUUUUUGAUCUUAAACGAGGAAUUCCUAGUAAACGCAAGUCAUCAGCUUGCAUUGAUUACGUCCCUGCCCUUUGUACACACCGCCCGUCGCACCUACCGAUUGAAUGGUCCGGUGAAAUCUCGGGACGGCGGCUUGGUCGCUUGCGUCCGACUGCUGAAACUUGAUUAAACCAUAUCAUUUAGAGGAAGGUGAAGUCGUAACA
This 321-nucleotide ribosomal RNA is filed under the name uncultured eukaryote. RNAcentral describes it as "partial 18S ribosomal RNA". It matches the Rfam family "Eukaryotic small subunit ribosomal RNA", at positions 1470 to 1796 of the family's 1831-position model. The record is from RNAcentral.